UACGUAGGGGGCAAGCGUUGUCCGGAUUUAUUGGAGCGUAAAGGGCGUGUAGGCGGUUUGGUAGGUCCGCUGUGAAAACUCGAGGCUCAACCUCGAGACGCCGGUGGAAACCAUCAGACUAGAGUCCGGAAGAGGAGAGUGGAAUUCCUGGUGUAGCGGUGAAAUGCGCAGAUAUCAGGAAGAACACCCGUGGCUAAGGCGGCUCUCUAGUACGGUACUGACGCUGAGACGCGAAAGCGUGGGAGCGAACAGG
RNAcentral lists this ribosomal RNA (253 nucleotides) under uncultured bacterium. RNAcentral describes it as "partial 16S ribosomal RNA". It matches the Rfam family "Bacterial small subunit ribosomal RNA", at positions 524 to 776 of the family's 1533-position model. The record is from RNAcentral.